UGGGGGAUAUUGCACAAUGGGGGGAACCCUGAUGCAGCAACGCCGCGUGAGGGAAGAAGGUUUUCGGAUUGUAAACCUCUGUCCUUAGUGAAGAUAAUGACGGUAGCUAAGGAGGAAGCUCCGGCUAACUACGUGCCAGCAGCCGCGGUAAUACGUAGGGAGCGAGCGUUGUCCGGAAUUACUGGGUGUAAAGGGUGCGUAGGCGGCAAUACAAGUCAGAUGUGAAAUGCAUAGGCUUAACCUAUGAACUGCAUUAGAAACUGUGUUGCUUGAGUGAAGUAGAGGCAGGCGGAAUUCCCUGUGUAGCGGUGAAAUGCGUAGAGAUAGGGAGGAACACCAGUGGCGAAGGCGGCCUGCUGGGCUUUAACUGACGCUGAGGCACGAAAGCAUGGGUAGCAAACAGG
This 404-nucleotide ribosomal RNA is filed under the name uncultured bacterium. RNAcentral's name for it is "bacterial SSU rRNA". It matches the Rfam family "Bacterial small subunit ribosomal RNA", at positions 355 to 776 of the family's 1533-position model. The record is from RNAcentral.